GAAUAAGAGGUCCCGCCUGCCCUGUGACUUUUAUGUUUAACGGCCGCGGUAUUUUGACCGUGCGAAGGUAGCGCAAUCACUUGUCUUUUAAAUGGAGACCUGUAUGAAUGGCAUAACGAGGGCUUGACUGUCUCCUCUUUCAAGUCAAUGAAAUUGAUCUCUCCGUGCAGAAGCGGGGAUACUUACAUAAGACGAGAAGACCCUAUGGAGCUUUAGACGCCAAGGCAGCUUGUGUUAAGCACCCUUCCCCCGAGGGAAUAAACAAGGCAAACCCUGCCCUGUAUGUCUUUGGUUGGGGCGACCGCGGGGCAAUACAAAACCCCCAUGUGGACCGGGAACAUCCCUCCUAGCACUAAGAGCUACCGCUCUAAGUCCCAGAAUUUCUGACUAAACAGAUCCGGCAAUGCCGAUCAACGAACCGAGUUACCCUAGGGAUAACAGCGCAAUCCCCUUUUAGAGCCCAUAUCGACAAGGGGGUUUACGACCUCGAUGUUGGAUCAGGACAUCCUAAUGGUGCAGCCGCUAUUAAGGGUUCGUUUGUUCAACGAUUAAAGUCCU
RNAcentral lists this ribosomal RNA (558 nucleotides) under Polylepion russelli. RNAcentral's name for it is "partial 16S ribosomal RNA". It matches the Rfam family "Bacterial large subunit ribosomal RNA", at positions 1843 to 2597 of the family's 2925-position model. Lineage: Eukaryota; Metazoa; Chordata; Actinopteri; Labriformes; Labridae. The record is from RNAcentral.